GAAAAACCAGAGCCUCGGUAAACUGCUAGGUGAUUAUCUGAAGCGGGUUCUCAAUUAAUGCUGGAAUGCAGUGGUGUGAUCUCAGCUGACUGCAACCUCCAACUCCCAGGUUCAAGUGAUUCUCCUGCCUCAACCUCCUGAGUAGCUGGCAUUACAGAAAAUAUAAAGCUAAUUAGGUUUUAAAACUUCAAAGGAGAGCACUAAAUUCAUGGAAAUAAAUGCUAUCCCUUCUAAUUCAGGAG
This 242-nucleotide long non-coding RNA is filed under the name Homo sapiens (human). Lineage: Eukaryota; Metazoa; Chordata; Mammalia; Primates; Hominidae. The record is from RNAcentral.